Molecule: ribosomal RNA, 1541 nt
Filed under: Mycobacterium sp.
Lineage: Bacteria; Bacillati; Actinomycetota; Actinomycetes; Mycobacteriales; Mycobacteriaceae
Description: bacterial SSU rRNA
Rfam family: Bacterial small subunit ribosomal RNA
Source: RNAcentral
GGGGUUUUUGUUUGGAGAGUUUGAUUCUGGCUCAGGACGAACGCUGGCGGCGUGCUUAACACAUGCAAGUCGAACGGUAAGGCCCUUCGGGGUACACGAGUGGCGAACGGGUGAGUAACACGUGGGUAAUCUGCCCUGCACAUCGGGAUAAGCCUGGGAAACUGGGUCUAAUACCGAAUAGGACCACAGAACACAUGUCCUGUGGUGGAAAGCUUUUGCGGUGUGGGAUGGGCCCGCGGCCUAUCAGCUUGUUGGUGGGGUGAUGGCCCACCAAGGCGACGACGGGUAGCCGGCCUGAGAGGGUGUCCGGCCACACUGGGACUGAGAUACGGCCCAGACUCCUACGGGAGGCAGCAGUGGGGAAUAUUGCACAAUGGGCGAAAGCCUGAUGCAGCGACGCCGCGUGGGGGAUGACGGCCUUCGGGUUGUAAACCUCUUUCACCAUCGACGAAGGUCGGGUUUUCUCGGAUUGACGGUAGGUGGAGAAGAAGCACCGGCCAACUACGUGCCAGCAGCCGCGGUAAUACGUAGGGUGCGAGCGUUGUCCGGAAUUACUGGGCGUAAAGAGCUCGUAGGUGGUUUGUCGCGUUGUUCGUGAAAUCUCACGGCUUAACUGUGAGCGUGCGGGCGAUACGGGCAGACUUGAGUACUGCAGGGGAGACUGGAAUUCCUGGUGUAGCGGUGGAAUGCGCAGAUAUCAGGAGGAACACCGGUGGCGAAGGCGGGUCUCUGGGCAGUAACUGACGCUGAGGAGCGAAAGCGUGGGGAGCGAACAGGAUUAGAUACCCUGGUAGUCCACGCCGUAAACGGUGGGUACUAGGUGUGGGUUUCCUUCCUUGGGAUCCGUGCCGUAGCUAACGCAUUAAGUACCCCGCCUGGGGAGUACGGCCGCAAGGCUAAAACUCAAAGAAAUUGACGGGGGCCCGCACAAGCGGCGGAGCAUGUGGAUUAAUUCGAUGCAACGCGAAGAACCUUACCUGGGUUUGACAUGCACAGGACGCCGGCAGAGAUGUCGGUUCCCUUGUGGCCUGUGUGCAGGUGGUGCAUGGCUGUCGUCAGCUCGUGUCGUGAGAUGUUGGGUUAAGUCCCGCAACGAGCGCAACCCUUGUCUCAUGUUGCCAGCGGGUAAUGCCGGGGACUCGUGAGAGACUGCCGGGGUCAACUCGGAGGAAGGUGGGGAUGACGUCAAGUCAUCAUGCCCCUUAUGUCCAGGGCUUCACACAUGCUACAAUGGCCGGUACAAAGGGCUGCGAUGCCGCGAGGUUAAGCGAAUCCUUUUAAAGCCGGUCUCAGUUCGGAUCGGGGUCUGCAACUCGACCCCGUGAAGUCGGAGUCGCUAGUAAUCGCAGAUCAGCAACGCUGCGGUGAAUACGUUCCCGGGCCUUGUACACACCGCCCGUCACGUCAUGAAAGUCGGUAACACCCGAAGCCAGUGGCCUAACCCUUUGGGAGGGAGCUGUCGAAGGUGGGAUCGGCGAUUGGGACGAAGUCGUAACAAGGUAGCCGUACCGGAAGGUGCGGCUGGAUCACCUCCUUUCUAA